ACUCAGUUUAUAUUCUGAUGUUGAUACAUGAAGAAUAUGACGGUUUGUCAAGGGCUCCUAAAGCUGUUAAAACUUACAGGCGUGAAAAUCUGUCGAAGCUGACUUGGGAAGUCUGAAUGUUACUGCCUUCAUAGAAUUCUGUAUCCUGAAAACAUGGAAAUCUCCCUGAUGUCUGAGGUGUGCAUGCAGUUUCACAUUGUGCGAUAUGUGAAUAGCAGCUAAUAUGUGCAUCAGGGAGCUGAAGAGUACAUUGUCUUUUCAUGUAAAGGUAUUAGCAAAGUACCCAGAACUAAGUUCUUCAAGCAGUUAGGAAAGCUGAUGGAGCAUAGCAGAGCUGGAGACUUUUCUUUUUGUUUAGCAGACCGUGUUGUGUCUGGGCUCAGCACACACCCAGAAAAAACAGAAAUAUUUGCAGAAUGAUUCAGCUCAUACAAGAUGGAUCUUAAAACACCUUAAACAGGUGAAGAUAUGUGAACACCCUCCAUGGUGAAAAAACAGCCAUGGACAUCUGGAGUCCUGACUUGGUGCCCUUUACAGAAGGAACAUCUACACAGGCCAUAUUCUUCAGCCUGUCAAAAUGGUAAUGCAGAGAAGAUAUGAAAAAGGAUUAGAAGAUCAUGACUGCCAUGGAGAUAAAGAAGUGCCCACUAUUUUUUCAGAUACCAGAAGUGUGGACAUUAAAUGAAGGCAACAUUCACAGCCUCAGAGGAGACCAUGGUGGUUCUGCACACAGCGUGUAACUGAGGAUUACCUGCCAUGAGCCUGUGUGCUGUGGGCAUUUAUCCUUUAUGGGGCUCAGUGAGCAUCUGGAGAAGUCCACAGAAAAGAAAUCCAGCAAGGACUGCUAAUAGGAAGCCUGUGAAGUGCAAAUUUUUGGAGGCUGGCAGGGUUUUCUGGGUAAAAAUCACUAAAUGUUUGCUCCUUUCUUGCAUUAUUUCCUAAGCAUCCACUCUUGGUAAUUGUCAAGGACAACUGGGCUUGAAUGCAUGUCUUGCACAAACUCGUAAGAU
Pezoporus occidentalis (night parrot) is the source of this 1010-nucleotide long non-coding RNA. RefSeq lists it as uncharacterized. The record is from RefSeq and is a predicted model, not a curated record. The transcript has 3 exons. NCBI's taxonomy places the organism in Eukaryota, Metazoa, Chordata, Aves, Psittaciformes, Psittacidae.